AUUCGUAGAGAUCGGGAGGAAUACCAGUGGCGAAGGCGCCCUUCUGGACGGUUACUGACGCUGAGACGCGAAAGCGUGGGGAGCAAACAGGAUUAGAUACCCUGGUAGUCCACGCUGUAAACGAUGAGCACUAGGUGUAGCGGGUACCCA
This 150-nucleotide ribosomal RNA is filed under the name uncultured bacterium. RNAcentral describes it as "partial 16S ribosomal RNA". It matches the Rfam family "Bacterial small subunit ribosomal RNA", at positions 686 to 835 of the family's 1533-position model. The record is from RNAcentral.